UACGUAGGGUGCAAGCGUUGUCCGGAAUUAUUGGGCGUAAAGAGCUCGUAGGCGGCUUGGUAAGUCAGGUGUGAAACCUCCAGGCUCAACCUGGAGACGCCACUUGAUACUGCCAUAGCUAGAGUCCGGUAGGGGAGCGUGGAAUUUCUGGUGUAGCGGUGAAAUGCGCAGAUAUCAGAAGGAACACCAGCGGCGAAGGCGGCGCUCUGGGCCGGAACUGACGCUGAGGAGCGAAAGCGUGGGUAGCAAACAGG
Molecule: ribosomal RNA, 254 nt
Filed under: uncultured bacterium
Lineage: Bacteria
Description: partial 16S ribosomal RNA
Rfam family: Bacterial small subunit ribosomal RNA
Source: RNAcentral